This 72-nucleotide transfer RNA is filed under the name bacterium. RNAcentral's name for it is "tRNA-Thr". It matches the Rfam family "tRNA". From Rfam's summary of the family: Transfer RNA (tRNA) molecules are approximately 80 nucleotides in length. Their secondary structure includes four short double-helical elements and three loops (D, anti-codon, and T loops). The record is from RNAcentral.
GCCUCUGUAGCUCAGUGGUAGAGCACUCGCCUUGUAAGCGAGCGGUCAAGGGUUCAAAUCCGUUCGGAGGCU